Molecule: long non-coding RNA, 1434 nt
Filed under: Apteryx rowi (Okarito brown kiwi)
Lineage: Eukaryota; Metazoa; Chordata; Aves; Apterygiformes; Apterygidae
Description: lncRNA (ENSARWG00000016080.1)
Source: RNAcentral
CCCAGCUGGUGACUUUUAUUGGUGGGAGGGGCUGUUCCAGGCCCGGACGCCUGGGUCCCUCCAGCGCUUCUGCCCUUCCCUCGCCCAGACGCCUGGGUCCCUGAGGCCACGUGUCCCCUCCCCGCUGCUUCCCCACAGGCUGCUCCAGGCAUCCAGGCUCUGCUGAGCCACGCUUGGAGCACACGUGUGGACCCGUGUCCUUGGUGUGUCCUCGGUAUGUCACCACCCUUGUCCCUAGCAUGUCCUCAUGCUGGCUGUGGCGUGUCCCAGGCGUGUCCCUAUCCGUGUCCAUGUGUGUCCCCAUGCUGGCUGUGGCGUGUCCCUAUCCAUGUCCAUGCGUGUCCCCAUGCUGGUUGUGGCAUCUCAGGCGCGUUCCUGCAGUGGCUGUAGCAUGUCCCAGGCAUGUCCCUAUCCAUGUCCAUGCGUGUCCCCAUGCUGGCUGUGGCGUGUCCAUGCAAUGGCUGUGGCAUGUCCCUAUCCAUGUCCAUGCGUGUCCUCAUGCUGGCUGUGGCGUGUCCAAGGCGUGUCCCCAUCCAUGUCCCCAUGGUGGCCAUGGCGUGUCCCUAGCCAUGUCCUUCCAUGGCCCGCCAUGGUGGUGGCCGUGUCCCCAGGAUGCUGGUGGCCGCAGCCCCGUCCUUGCAUGUCCCCCGCGGCAGCGUUGGCGUGUCCCAGUCCAUGUUCUUGCGUGUCCCCCGCAGCAGCGUUGGCGUGUCCUUGGCGUGUCCCCCGUGGUGGCCGUGUCCCCGCAGUAGCCGCAUUCCCAGGGGUCAUGAUGACCCCACGGUGGCCGUGUCCCCAUGUCAGCCAUGUCCUUGUGUCCCCCGGAUCCCCAUGGUCCCCAAAUCCCCAUCCCCUGGUCCCCAUGUCCCCAUCUCCCAGCAUUCCCAUGGUGGCCAUGUCCCCCAUGUCACCAUCCCCUUGGGUCCCCAUGGUGGCCAUGCCCCAGUGGCCACGUCCCCCUGUGUCCUCAUGUCCUACUGUCCCCACAGUGGUCAAGUCCUGGAGGCCCUGUCCCCCCAUGUCCCCAAUGUCCCCAUGUCCUAGUGCCCCUGUCCCCAUGUCUCCCAGUCCUGGUGUCCCCCUGGGCCCCAGGUCACCAUCCCCCCGUGUCCUCAUGGUGGCCAUGUCCCCAAGGUGGCUGCGUCCCCCCAUUCCCCCCCCCGCAUCCCCCCAAUGUCCCCACGUCCCCAUGUCCGUCAGUGGCGCAGGGCCGCGUACUCCACGGUGUCCUCGGCAUCCCCGGUGUCCCCGUGGCGUCCCCGCGGUGUCCCCGGGGGGGACAGGGCCAGGGCGGCGUAGAGCAGGGUCCCUUCCUCGUCCCCGUGUCCGGGGGGGACAUUCUCAUAGUCGGGACCCUCAGGGGCCUGUGGGGACACGGGUGGCAUCGGAGGGGGACACGGGCACAGGACAUAGGGAUGGGGAUGGGACAUGGGG